UGGGGAAUUUUGGACAAUGGGCGAAAGCCUGAUCCAGCAAUGCCGCGUGUGUGAAGAAGGCCUUCGGGUUGUAAAGCACUUUUGUCCGGAAAGAAAUCCUUGGCUCUAAUACAGUCGGGGGAUGACGGUACCGGAAGAAUAAGCACCGGCUAACUACGUGCCAGCAGCCGCGGUAAUACGUAGGGUGCAAGCGUUAAUCGGAAUUACUGGGCGUAAAGCGUGCGCAGGCGGUUUGCUAAGACCGAUGUGAAAUCCCCGGGCUCAACCUGGGAACUGCAUUGGUGACUGGCAGGCUAGAGUAUGGCAGAGGGGGGUAGAAUUCCACGUGUAGCAGUGAAAUGCGUAGAGAUGUGGAGGAAUACCGAUGGCGAAGGCAGCCCCCUGGCCAAGUACUGACGCUCAUGCACGAAAGCGUGGGGAGCAAACAGGAUUAGAUACCCUGGUAGUCCACGCCCUAAACGAUGUCAACUAGUUGUUGGGGAUUCAUUUCCUUAGUAACGUAGCUAACGCGUGAAGUUGACCGCCUGGGGAGUACGGUCGCAAGAUUAAAACUCAAAUGAAUUGACGGGGUCAUAGCUGUUUCCU
This 585-nucleotide ribosomal RNA is filed under the name uncultured bacterium. RNAcentral's name for it is "partial 16S ribosomal RNA". It matches the Rfam family "Bacterial small subunit ribosomal RNA", at positions 355 to 1375 of the family's 1533-position model. The record is from RNAcentral.